RNAcentral lists this ribosomal RNA (443 nucleotides) under uncultured bacterium. RNAcentral's name for it is "partial 16S ribosomal RNA". It matches the Rfam family "Bacterial small subunit ribosomal RNA", at positions 338 to 795 of the family's 1533-position model. The record is from RNAcentral.
CCUACGGGUGGCAGCAGUGGGGAAUAUUGCACAAUGGGCGAAAGCCUGACCCAGCAACGCCGCGUGAAGGAAGAAGGCUUUCGGCUUGUAAACUUCUUUUAACAGGGACGAAAGAAAUGACGGUACCUGAUUAAUAAGCCCCGGCUAACUACGUGCCAGCAGCCGCGGUAAUACGUAGGGGGCAAGCGUUAUCCGGAUUUACUGGGUGUAAAGGGUGAGUAGGCGGCAAGAUAAGCCAGAUGUGAAAGCCAUGGGCUUAACCUGGGGACUGCAUUUGGAACUGUCGAUCUAGAGAACAGGAGAGGCAGGCGGAAUUCCUAGUGUAGCGGUGAAAUGCGUAGAUAUUAGGAAGAACACCAGUGGCGAAGGCGGCUUUCUGGACUGAAACUGACGCUGAGGCACGAAAGCGUGGGGAGCGAACAGGAUUAGAUACCCGAGUAGUC